CAGGGGGAAAAAUUCAGGCCAAAGAGUCUUUACUUUUAAAUGAUUAUUGAUACACCAAGUAAUAACAUGUAACAAGCUCUUGAAUUCUAUCAUCUAGUAAUUUUGGUUAAGAGAAACUAAAAGCAGUCCGAAUACACUAGUAUUCACUAUUCUAACCAUUAGCAAGAAUGGACGACUUUAAGGCUGGCUGCUGCUUCACACAGGUUAC
This is a long non-coding RNA of Cebus imitator (Panamanian white-faced capuchin), 208 nucleotides long. RefSeq lists it as uncharacterized. Lineage: Eukaryota; Metazoa; Chordata; Mammalia; Primates; Cebidae. The record is from RefSeq and is a predicted model, not a curated record. The transcript has 3 exons.